RNAcentral lists this ribosomal RNA (253 nucleotides) under uncultured bacterium. Its description in RNAcentral is "partial 16S ribosomal RNA". It matches the Rfam family "Bacterial small subunit ribosomal RNA", at positions 524 to 776 of the family's 1533-position model. The record is from RNAcentral.
UACGUAGGUGGCAAGCGUUGUCCGGAUUUACUGGGCGUAAAGGGCGUGCAGGCGGUCUGUUAAGUCUAGGGUGAAAGCUCCCGGCUCAACUGGGAGAGGUCCUUGGAUACUGGCGGACUUGAGGGAGGCAGAGGAAAGUGGAAUUCCCGGUGUAGUGGUGAUAUGCGUAGAGAUCCGGAGGAAGACCGGUGGCGAAGGCGGCCUGCUGGGCAGUUACUGACACUGAUGCGCGAAAGCGUGGGGAGCAAACAGG